RNAcentral lists this ribosomal RNA (253 nucleotides) under uncultured bacterium. RNAcentral describes it as "partial 16S ribosomal RNA". It matches the Rfam family "Bacterial small subunit ribosomal RNA", at positions 524 to 776 of the family's 1533-position model. The record is from RNAcentral.
UACGGGGGGGGCAAGCGUUGUUCGGAAUUACUGGGCGUAAAGGGUUCGUAGGUGGCUGGCUAAGUCAGACGUGAAAUCCCUCAGCUCAACUGGGGAACUGCGUCUGAGACUGGUCAGCUUGAGUGCAGGAGAGGAACGCGGAAUUCCAGGUGUAGCGGUGAAAUGCGUAGAUAUCUGGAGGAACACCGGUGGCGAAGGCGGCGUUCUGGACUGCAACUGACACUGAGGAACGAAAGCCAGGGGAGCAAACGGG